Molecule: ribosomal RNA, 498 nt
Filed under: uncultured bacterium
Lineage: Bacteria
Description: partial 16S ribosomal RNA
Rfam family: Bacterial small subunit ribosomal RNA
Source: RNAcentral
GACGAACGCUGGCGGCGUGUCUAAUACAUGCAAGUCGAACGAGAGCAACCGGUGCUUGCACUGGUCAAUCUAGUGGCGAACGGGUGAGUGACACGUGGGUAACCUGCCCAUCAGAGGGGGAUAACAUCCGGAAACGGAUGCUAAAACCGCAUAGGUCUUCGAACCGCAUGGUUUGAAGAGGAAAAGAGGCGCAAGCUUCUGCUGAUGGAUGGACCCGCGGUGCAUUAGCUAGUUGGUGAGGUAACGGCUCACCAAGGCCGUGAUGCAUAGCCGACCUGAGAGGGUGAUCGGCCACAUUGGGACUGAGACACGGCCCAAACUCCUACGGGAGGCAGCAGUAGGGAAUCUUCCGCAAUGGACGCAAGUCUGACGGAGCAACGCCGCGUGAGUGAAGAAGGUUUUCGGAUCGUAAAACUCUGUUGUUAGAGAAGAACAAGUGCUAGAGUAACUGUUAGCGCCUUGACGGUAUCUAACCAGAAAGCCACGGCUAACUACGUG